Molecule: ribosomal RNA, 389 nt
Filed under: uncultured bacterium
Lineage: Bacteria
Description: bacterial SSU rRNA
Rfam family: Bacterial small subunit ribosomal RNA
Source: RNAcentral
GACGAACGCUGGCGGCGUGCUUAACACAUGCAAGUCGAGCGGUAAGGCCCUUUCGGGGUACGACGAGCGGCGAACGGGUGAGUAACACGUGGGUGGACCUGCCCUCAGCUCUGGGAGUAAGCCUGGGAAACCGGGUCUAAUACUGGAUAUGACUCCAUGACGCAUGUUGUGGGGUGGAAAGCCUUGUGCGGCUGAGGAUGGGCCCGCGGCCUAUCAGCUUGUUGGUGGGGUGAUGGCCUACCAAGGCGACGACGGGUAGCCGGCCUGAGAGGGCGACCGGCCACACUGGGACUGAGACACGGCCCAGACUCCUACGGGAGGCAGCAGUGGGGAAUCUUGCGCAAUGGGCGAAAGCCUGACGCAGCGACGCCGCGUGAGGGAUGACGGCC